UCGGAUCCUCUGUCGCGGGCCCACGUCCCAGUCCUCUCCUUCCUCUCACAGUUCAUGUAGCCCCUACAUCCUCCCCUGAUUGUCCAGGUUAGUUGCGAGGGGCUCGUAAUCUGCAAGUUCCUAAUUUUGAAUUGGUUGUGUGUAGUUGUGCUGCAGGCACUUCACGGAUGAGAUUUUCUCAUGCUGUUCUCACCUCCUCACGUCGUGCAGCCUCCACACGCGAAGCCACCGAGGCAGGAAUCGGAAGUGCCAGUCUGUGCAUCGUGUUCUCACGCCAACCCCAAGGUCGUCUUGCUGCCCUGUUGCAAGAAUUUUGUGUAUCUUUUCAGUAUCAGUCUGACAGAUUCAUGUGUAUCUUUUCAGUAUUCAAAAUUAGGCAAUUCAAGUGAUACAUAUAUUGUUUGGAAUUUCGUUGCUAGGCCAUGAUCGGUUCAAUUUAUCCAUCAUUUAAUGUUUUCAUUUUUCAAGAUGUACAGUAGUUACUUCUAUGGAAUUGUACUAACAAGAUUAUAUUCAGCUUCGUUAAUGUCCAGAU
Molecule: long non-coding RNA, 535 nt
Filed under: Triticum aestivum (bread wheat)
Lineage: Eukaryota; Viridiplantae; Streptophyta; Magnoliopsida; Poales; Poaceae
Description: long non-coding RNA (TAES_LNC021620)
Source: RNAcentral